Molecule: long non-coding RNA, 232 nt
Organism: Daphnia pulicaria
Lineage: Eukaryota; Metazoa; Arthropoda; Branchiopoda; Diplostraca; Daphniidae
Exons: 3
Source: RefSeq, a predicted model, not a curated record
UCGCUAGAGGCACGGUCGAAUUGCAUCAUAACGUUGCAGACGACUUAUUGUGCUUUCUGCUCGAAUUCCUGUCAGGUAUUCCAUGUUGGUGCAUGGUGCUGUGAGAAUAUCAAAGAAGCAGCAGUUGAAGCUGAAGGUCAGAAAAAGUUGAAACCAUGCUGUGCUUGUCCUGAAACUAAGAGAGCUAGAGACCAGUGUAUCAUCGAAAACGGCGAGGAAAAUUGUACUACCU